RNAcentral lists this ribosomal RNA (822 nucleotides) under Cosmospora khandalensis. RNAcentral describes it as "eukaryotic LSU rRNA". It matches the Rfam family "Eukaryotic large subunit ribosomal RNA", at positions 84 to 941 of the family's 3401-position model. The record is from RNAcentral. Lineage: Eukaryota; Fungi; Ascomycota; Sordariomycetes; Hypocreales; Nectriaceae.
UAUACGGCGAGUGAAGCGGCAACAGCUCAAAUUUGAAAUCUGGCCUUCGGGUCCGAGUUGUAAUUUGUAGAGGAUGCUUUUGGUGCGGUGCCUUCCGAGUUCCCUGGAACGGGACGCCAUAGAGGGUGAGAGCCCCGUCUGGUUGGACACCAAUCCUCUGUAAAGCUCCUUCGACGAGUCGAGUAGUUUGGGAAUGCUGCUCUAAAUGGGAGGUAUAUGUCUUCUAAAGCUAAAUACCGGCCAGAGACCGAUAGCGCACAAGUAGAGUGAUCGAAAGAUGAAAAGCACUUUGAAAAGAGGGUUAAAUAGUACGUGAAAUUGUUGAAAGGGAAGCGCUUAUGACCAGACUUGAGCCCGGUUAAUCAUCCAGCCUUCUGGCUGGUGCACUUGGCCGGCUCAGGCCAGCAUCAGUUCGGCGCGGGGGAUAAAGGCUUCGGGAAUGUGGCUCCUCCGGGAGUGUUAUAGCCCGUUGUGUAAUACCCUGUACUGGACUGAGUUCGCGCAUCUGCAAGGAUGCUGGCGUAAUGGAUCAGCGACCCGUCUUGAAACACGGACCAAGGAGUCGUCUUCGUAUGCGAGUGUUCGGGUGUCAAACCCCUACGCGUAAUGAAAGUGAACGCAGGUGAGAGCUUCGGCGCAUCAUCGACCGAUCCUGAUGUUCUCGGAUGGAUUUGAGUAAGAGCAUACGGAGCCGGACCCGAAAGAAGGUGAACUAUGCCUGUAUAGGGUGAAGCCAGAGGAAACUCUGGUGGAGGCUCGCAGCGGUUCUGACGUGCAAAUCGAUCGUCAAAUAUGGGCAUGGGGGCGAAAGACUAAUCGACC